AUGGUUAGGUUUGGCAAAAAGUUGACGGCCGACCAAGUUCCAGAGUGGAGAGGUUACUAUAUAAACUACAAGCUGAUGAAGAAGAAAGUAAAACAAUAUGGGCAGCAGCUCCAACAGGGAGAGAAAGACCGUCGCCGUGUUCUCAAGGAUUUCUCGAAGAUGCUUGAUGAUCAGAUAGAGACGAUUGUCUUAUUUCUGUUGGAGCAACAAGGAAGGUUGGCGAGCAGGAUAGAAAAGCUAGGAAAGCAAAGAGCUAUACUAGCAGAACAGCCAGAUAUAUCUGCCAUUGCUGAGUUACGAGAAGCUUAUAGAGAAGUUGGUCUGGAUCUUAUCAAACUUCUCAAAUUCGUCGACCUGAAUGCAACUGGCAUUAGGAAAAUUUUGAAGAAGUUUGAUAAACGCUUCAGUUACAGAUUUACUGAUUACUACGUGUCAAGUAGAUCAAAUCACCCUUAUUCUCAGCUACAGCAGGUCUUCAAGCAUGUGGGUGUAGGAGCUGUUGUGGGAGCCUUGUCGCGUAACCUUGCUGACCUUCAGGAGCGUCAAGGAAGUUAUUUAUCAAUUUAUGACCAACCAGCUUCUGCUCUUAAGGACCCAAUCAUUGAUAUGAUAAAUUCAUCGGUGGAUAAACUGACACGAUCAACUAAUUUUCUACGGUUUUUGGGGCAACAUGCCCUAAUUGCGCAAGAGGAGUCUCCUAGUACUGCAGGAGAGGAAGAAAUAGAAGAUCAAAAAUACCAUUUCGUGUCCCUUAUGCUGAAUUUGGUGAACACAUUCCUUUACAUGGUCAACACAUACAUCAUUGUGCCAACUGCAGAUGACUACUCAGUGAGCCUUGGGGCUGCUUCUACUGUUUGUGGUGUUGUUAUUGGUUCAAUGGCCGUUGCACAAGUAUUUUCUUCAGUGUACUUCAGUGCAUGGUCCAACAAGUCAUAUUUUAAACCACUUGUUUUCAGCAGUAUUGUUCUUUUCUUGGGUAAUGUCUGCUAUGCAAUGGCUUACGAUACGAAGUCCCUGACAGUCCUUAUUGUUGGCCGCCUACUCUGUGGGUUGGGUUCUGCAAGAGCUGUCAACCGACGGUACAUUAGUGAUUGUGUCCCUGCAAGGAUACGCAUGCAAGCUUCAGCAGGAUUCGUAAGUGCAAGUGCACUUGGCAUGGCUUGUGGGCCAGCGCUGGCUGGUUUACUUCAGUGGAGAUUUAAAAUCUACAUGGUUACGUUCAGUCAGUCGACUCUACCUGGUUGGUUGAUGGCAGUUGCAUGGCUACUGUACUUAGUUUGGCUAUGCAUCUCAUUCAAGGAACCAAAUCGUGCCACUGAGGCAGAUGAUACCCCACAUAAUCGUGCUUCUGGACAAUGUGUGGAUAUUGGGCAAGUUGAAAAUGGACUUGCACAACCAUUGCUUGGAGAUUCUGAAAGCAAACUAAAUGACGACGACGAUGAUGAUGAAGAAGAUGAAAGUGAAGAAUCCGCACAAGAUUCUCGCAAGCCUGCAACUUCGAUUGGUUCAGCAUACAGAUUGCUCACUCCAUCAGUAAAGGUUCAAUUGUUGAUAUACUUCAUGCUCAAGUACGCGAUGGAGAUUUUACUUUCUGAGUCAAGUGUUAUUACCAGUCACUAUUUCAAUUGGAAUACAAGCUCAGUGGCAAUAUUUCUGGCAAUUCUUGGGUUGACAGUGCUUCCUAUUAAUGCUGUUGUUGGAACAUAUAUCAGCAACAUGUUUGAGGACAGCUUCAAAGUCACGAGUACAUACUCCGUCAUCCAGUAUGUUGUCUCAGCACUCAUUACGUUUGUUUCUGCUGAAGUCCUUGAAGGUAACAAAUAUUUGAACAUUCUAGUUAUAAGCUCCUGUGAUAUAGUUGUCUUAUCUCGCACCAAGGAGACCUGUCUAAAAUUCUUGCCACGAAAUGCAGGCGUCAACCUUUCGCUCCUGUCGAGCGUGAUGUCGUCCCGCCUCUCCCGGGGCACAUACAACGGCGGGCUCCUCUCGACGGAGGCUGGCACCCUGGCGAGGGUGGUCGCCGACUGCACCAUCACCGCAGCGGGGUACCUGGGCAUCGGGAGCCUCCUCAACGUUACCCUGCUGCCCUCCCUGGUGAUCUGCGCCGCAUCAAUUGCAUGCACCUUCUUGACCUACAACUCCCUCUUCUAA
Molecule: ribosomal RNA, 2151 nt
Filed under: Triticum aestivum (bread wheat)
Lineage: Eukaryota; Viridiplantae; Streptophyta; Magnoliopsida; Poales; Poaceae
Description: partial small subunit ribosomal RNA
Source: RNAcentral